Molecule: ribosomal RNA, 454 nt
Filed under: uncultured bacterium
Lineage: Bacteria
Description: partial 16S ribosomal RNA
Rfam family: Bacterial small subunit ribosomal RNA
Source: RNAcentral
GAUGAACGCUGCCAGAAUGCUUAACACAUGCAAGUCUACUUGAACUUCGGUUUGGGUGGCGGACGGGUGAGUAACGCGUAAAGAACUUGCCUCACAGAUAGGGACAACAUUUGGAAACGAAUGCUAAUACCUGAUAUUAUGAUUUUAGGGCAUCCUAGAAUUAUGAAAGCUAUAUGCACUGUGAGAGAGCUUUGCGUCCCAUUAGCUAGUUGGAGAGGUAACGGCUCACCAAGGCGAUGAUGGGUAGCCGGCCUGAGAGGGUGAUCGGCCACAAGGGGACUGAGACACGGCCCUUACUCCUACGGGAGGCAGCAGUGGGGAAUAUUGGACAAUGGACCAAGAGUCUGAUCCAGCAAUUCUGUGUGCACGAUGAAGUUUUUCGGAAUGUAAAGUGCUUUCAGUUGGGAAGAAAAAAAUGACGGUACCAACAGAAGAAGUGACGGCUAAAUACGUG